UACGUAGGGGCCGAGCGUUGUCCGGAGUUAUUGGGCGUAAAGAGCGUGUAGGCGGCCCGGUAAGUCCGCUGUGAAAGUCCAGGGCUCAACCCUGGGAUGCCGGUGGAUACUGUCGGGCUCGAGUCCGGAAGAGGAGUGUGGAAUUCCUGGUGUAGCGGUGAAAUGCGCAGAUAUCAGGAGGAACACCAAUGGCGAAGGCAGCACUCUGGGACGUGACUGACGCUGAGACGCGAAAGCGUGGGGAGCAAACAGG
Molecule: ribosomal RNA, 253 nt
Filed under: uncultured bacterium
Lineage: Bacteria
Description: partial 16S ribosomal RNA
Rfam family: Bacterial small subunit ribosomal RNA
Source: RNAcentral